UACGAGAGGCCCAAACGUUAUUCGGAAUUACUGGGCUUAAAGAGUUCGUAGGCGGCGCAGAAAGUAGGGUGUGAGAGCCCUCGGCUCAACCGAGGAAUUGCGCUCUAAACUGCUGUGCUUGAGGGACCUAGAGGUGAGCAGAACUGAUGGUGGAGCGGUGAAAUGCGUUGAUAUCAGGAGGAACACCUGUGGCGAAAGCGGCUCACUGGACCAUAACUGACGCUGAUGCACGAAAGCUAGGGGAGCAAACAGG
RNAcentral lists this ribosomal RNA (253 nucleotides) under uncultured bacterium. Its description in RNAcentral is "partial 16S ribosomal RNA". It matches the Rfam family "Bacterial small subunit ribosomal RNA", at positions 524 to 776 of the family's 1533-position model. The record is from RNAcentral.